Molecule: ribosomal RNA, 484 nt
Filed under: uncultured bacterium
Lineage: Bacteria
Description: bacterial SSU rRNA
Rfam family: Bacterial small subunit ribosomal RNA
Source: RNAcentral
UUGAACGCUGGCGGCAUGCCUAACACAUGCAAGUCGAACGGCAGCGCGGGCUUCGGCCUGGCGGCGAGUGGCGGACGGGUGAGGAAUACAUAGGAAUCUGCCCAGUCGUGGGGGAUAACCCGGGGAAACCCGGACUAAUACCGCAUACGACGGUGACGUGAAAGCCGGGGACCUUCGGGCCUGGCGCGAUUGGAUGAGCCUAUGUCGGAUUAGCUAGUUGGCGGGGUAAAGGCCCACCAAGGCGACGAUCCGUAGCUGGUCUGAGAGGAUGAUCAGCCACACUGGGACUGAGACACGGCCCAGACUCCUACGGGAGGCAGCAGUGGGGAAUAUUGGACGAUGGGCGCAAGCCUGAUCCAGCAAUGCCGCGUGGGUGAAGAAGGCCUUCGGGUUGUAAAGCCCUUUUGUACGGGAAGAAAUCAUCCGGGUUAAUACCCUGGGUGGAUGACGGUACCGUAAGAAUAAGCACCGGCUAACUUCGUGC